Molecule: long non-coding RNA, 1046 nt
Filed under: Olea europaea (common olive)
Lineage: Eukaryota; Viridiplantae; Streptophyta; Magnoliopsida; Lamiales; Oleaceae
Description: long non-coding RNA (OEUR_LNC007844)
Source: RNAcentral
GAUGAGGAUUCUACUUUUUCCUUCCCCUUGGAUGUUCUUUUAGGUGGCAUCUUGCAAAAGUGCAAAUUAUUCAUAUUAAGUCAUAUAGAACGGAUAGAUAAAUAAGAAAACAUGAAAGAACGUAUAUGAGUCACAAGUCUCACAAACUUGCUUCAAAGUGCACGUGUACAUUGUUAGCGUGCUAGAUGCAUCGUGUUAAAAUCAAGUUCAUAUUAAGGAAAUGUGAACCACUAAUAAAACUUAGCUCAAACAUGCACUUUGUUAAAUUUGAACCCAUUAUCGACUUAGGACUUUCACCCACGGGCACUGUUGAGAAAUAUCAAAAAAAUUUCGGGUGAUCUCUGGGCAUAUGAAAUGAUCCAUGUUACACAUACCCGAAUUUUAGGUCAUUUGGACUUCAUUUGGGUUGUCAAAUUGUGGGGCAAAGUAGGCGACAAGAGGUGCCGUGAUCUGGCCAUGUUAUGCUUACGUGUGUGCUAUUUGGGUGUUUGGUGUUUUCCAAGGCAAAUUCCAUGGGAAUGUACUCAACAUGGACUAGAAUUCAGAUAUCACGUAAAUCAAUUUCAAGAUUCACAAAAACCCGCAAAAACCAUUACCUAGGCAUUUUAUCCAACACAUUGUAUGCAAAGUGUGUUCUUCCUACUUGGAUGAUGCAUAUGUGUAGCUUCAACCCCAUUAAUCACAAUAUACUCAUAGGCCAACACAUUACAACACAUAACAUCCAAACUCCAUCAAGUACCUUAGAGAAAUUCAGGAAUUUCCCUAAUUGCAAAAUUGAUAAACAGGGUUUUAGACGAUUUACUUUGCAAUAUUGAUAUUGGAGUGCAAAAUUGAAUGCAAUUAAUGCCAACCCUUGAAGAUGGAUCCUUGAGGAGUCGAAACUCGGGUGUGCCUCUAUUUGGAUUGUGUAUACACCAUGAGUUGUGUUUGUGUAGGUGUGUGCACGUGUUGAGUUUGUGAAUGUGUUUUGAAUGUGGGGUGUGAAAGUGUGAGCUCUGUGUAAAUGUCGUAUGUGUGGGGUGUUAAUAGAAUACUCCCCCCCCCCC